This is a long non-coding RNA of Impatiens glandulifera, 489 nucleotides long. RefSeq lists it as uncharacterized. The record is from RefSeq and is a predicted model, not a curated record. The transcript is spliced from 3 exons. Lineage: Eukaryota; Viridiplantae; Streptophyta; Magnoliopsida; Ericales; Balsaminaceae.
CUGUAUGUUCUAUAGAGUUUUUGAAUGAACCAGUUCUCCGUUCUCUAGCUUCUCCUCCUCUUAGUUAUGCGAAGAUUCAAAUACCAUGUAAGCGUAACUUCUUCUAAAGAAGUUUACGUCUACGAUGGUUUAUAUAGGUGUUGGAGUUGGGUGUAAAAGAUGGUUCAUGAGUUGGGAUAAGUCAGCAUGUUCAAUGCAAUUCAGGAGGCAUACUAAUAUAUCGAAACAUUAAUUCUCCUGAAUCAACCCAAGACAUAUCCCAGUCUUCGCUUCCAUCAGCUACACUCUCUCCAUCGGUUUCCUGGGAUGGGGCAAGGAUCCCGAUACCAUUUUCAGUUUCAUAUGCCUUGUUCAAGUAUUUUUUUUAAAUAAUAAAGUAGAAACUGUAAAUUUGAGUAAUGUAAAUCCAUACAGAAGUAAAAUUAAUGUGUUUGUUCAAGUAUUUUUUUAUGAUUUUAUUGCUUUUUAAUGUGUAGCUAAAUUUGUUAG